CAGCCGCCACGGUAAGACAGAGGAUGCAAGCGUUGUCCGGAAUUAUUGGGCGUAAAGGGCUCGCAGGCGGUUUCUUAAGUCUGAUGUGAAAGCCCCCGGCUCAACCGGGGGGGGUCAUUGGAAACUGGGAAACUUGAGUGCAGAAGAGGAGAGUGGAAUUCCACGUGUAGCGGUGAAAUGCGUAGAGAUGUGGAGGAACACCAGUGGCGAAGGCGACUCUCUGGUCUGUAACUGACGCUGAGGAGCGAAAGCGUGGGGAGCGAACAGGAUUAGAUACCCGUGUAGUCCCUGUCUCUUAUAC
RNAcentral lists this ribosomal RNA (301 nucleotides) under uncultured bacterium. RNAcentral's name for it is "partial 16S ribosomal RNA". It matches the Rfam family "Bacterial small subunit ribosomal RNA", at positions 509 to 807 of the family's 1533-position model. The record is from RNAcentral.